RNAcentral lists this ribosomal RNA (476 nucleotides) under uncultured bacterium. Its description in RNAcentral is "bacterial SSU rRNA". It matches the Rfam family "Bacterial small subunit ribosomal RNA", at positions 325 to 793 of the family's 1533-position model. The record is from RNAcentral.
CACUGUCACUCCUACGGGGAGGCAUCAGUGGGGAAUAUUGCACAAUGGGCGCAAGCCUGAUGCAGCCAUGCCGCGUGUAUGAAGAAGGCCUUCGGGUUGUAAAGUACUUUCAGUCGUGAGGAAGGCGGCGUCGUUAAUAGCGGCGUUGUUUGACGUUAGCGACAGAAGAAGCACCGGCUAACUCCGUGCCAGCAGCCGCGGUAAUACGGAGGGUGCGAGCGUUAAUCGGAAUUACUGGGCGUAAAGCGCAUGCAGGUGGUUUGUUAAGUCAGAUGUGAAAGCCCGGGGCUCAACCUCGGAAUUGCAUUUGAAACUGGCAGACUAGAGUACUGUAGAGGGGGGUAGGAAUUUCAGGUGUAGCGGUGAAAUGCGUAGAGAUCUGAAGGAAUACCGGUGGCGAAGGCGGCCCCCUCGGACAGAUACUGACACUCAGAUGCGAAAGCGUGGGGAGCAAACAGGAUUAGAUACCCUGGUAG